GCCUUCAGCAGUUCCGCCAAUCGUCGUCGUUCUGGGUCAGGUAGUUGAGACCCGACCCAUACCUUUCAGUCGGGAUUCUCCGCUACCAAGAUGGGAAUGAGCUGUUCGGCCGGUUUACCCCGUUCUUCCUCCUCCCGUUGGUCUAGCUUGUCGAUCGUUAGGGAGCCCUUCAACUCCUCGCUUUGAGCGGAGAUCUGGAAGCAUCGGCGAGCGAGC
RNAcentral lists this long non-coding RNA (216 nucleotides) under Elaeis guineensis (African oil palm). RNAcentral describes it as "long non-coding RNA (EGUI_LNC036781)". Lineage: Eukaryota; Viridiplantae; Streptophyta; Magnoliopsida; Arecales; Arecaceae. The record is from RNAcentral.